This 133-nucleotide ribosomal RNA is filed under the name uncultured bacterium. Its description in RNAcentral is "partial 16S ribosomal RNA". The record is from RNAcentral.
ACGUAGUUAGCCGUGGCUUCCUCCUUUGGUACCGUCAUUAUCGUCCCAAAAGACAGAGUUUUACAAUCCGAAGACCGUCAUCACUCACGCGGCGUUGCUGCAUCAGGGUUUCCCCCAUUGUGCAAUAUUCCCC